UAAGCUAAAUAAGAGCGUAUGGGGAAUGCCUAGGCUCUCAGAGGCGAUGAAGGACGUGAUAAGCUGCGAAAAGCUGCGGGGAUUGGCACAUACAAAUUGAUCCGUAGAUAUCCGAAUGGGGCAACCCAGCAUAUUGAAGAUAUGUUAUCCGAAAGGAAGUAAACCCGGAGAACUGAAACAUCUAAGUACCCGGAGGAGAAGAAAACAAAAGUGAUUCCGUUAGUAGUGGCGAGCGAACGCGGAUUAGCCCAAACCAGUAUUGUUAAGGCAAUGCUGGGGUUGUAGGACUACAAUAUUUGAGCUGUAAUGAAUUAGAAUAGUUUGGAAAGACUAACCAAAGAGGGUGAUAGUCCCGUAUAAGUAAAGAACAGUAAGAUAGUAGUAUCCUGAGUAGCGCGGGACACGAGUAAUCCUGUGUGAAUCAGUCGGGACCAUCCGAUAAGGCUAAAUACUCCUGGAGAGACCGAUAGUGAACUAGUACCGUGAGGGAAAGGUGAAAAGAACCUGAAUAAGGAGUGAAAUAGAUCCUGAAACCAUACGCUUACAAGCGGUCGGAGCCCUUUGGGGUGACGGCGUGCCUUUUGCAUAAUGAGCCUACGAGUUACCGUUGCUAGCAAGGUUAAGUGAUUAAGUCACGGAUCCGUAGCGAAAGCGAGUCUGAAUAGGGCGCUUUAGUUAGUAGUGGUAGACGCGAAACCGUGUGAUCUACCCAUGGGCAGGUUGAAGCUGUAGUAACAUACAGUGGAGGACCGAACCGGUUGACGUUGAAAAGUCUUCGGAUGACCUGUGGGUAGGGGUGAAAGGCCAAUCAAACUCGGAAAUAGCUCGUACUCCCCGAAAUGCAUUUAGGUGCAGCGUUGAUUUAUAGUUUUAUAGAGGUAGAGCUACUGAUUGGAUGCGGGGGCUUCACCGCCUACCAAUUCCUGACAAACUCCGAAAUGCUAUAAAAUGUUAAUCAGCAGUGAGGGCAUGGGUGCUAAAGGUCCAUGUCCGAAAGGGAAAGAACCCAGACCAUCCAGCUAAGGUCCCCAAAAUAUAUGUUAAGUUGAAAAAAACGAGGUUGAACUGCUUUGACAGCUAGGAUGUUGGCUUGGAAGCAGCCAUUCAUUUAAAGAGUGCGUAACAGCUCACUAGUCGAGCGGUUCGGCAUGGAUAAUAAUCGGGCAUAAACAUAUUACCGAAGCUAUGGACUUGUAAAAGUGGUAGGGGAGCAUUGUAGUGGCGUUGAAGGUGUGCUGUGAGGUAUGCUGGAGUAGCUACAAAAGAAAAUGUAGGCAUAAGUAACGAUAAUGCGGCGAGAAACCCGCACUCCGAAAGACUAAGGUUUCCUCAGCUAUGCUAAUCAGCUGAGGGUUAGUCGGGACCUAACGCGAACCCGAAAGGGGUAGUGGAUGGACAACAGGUUAAUAUUCCUGUACCUGCUCUCAUUAAAAGUGACGGAGGCGAAAAGUUAGUGCGCACAGACGGAAUUGUGCGUUGAGAGAGUGGUAACACCUCGAUAGUACACUAAGACUACGGUCGCGGUGAUAAUCUAGCGAAUCGACUUCCAAGAAAAGCAAGAGAAGCAGCCCGUACCCUAAACCGACACAGGUAGUUGGUGAGAAUUCUAAGGAGCUCGAGAGAUUCAUGGCUAAGGAA
RNAcentral lists this ribosomal RNA (1638 nucleotides) under Olleya sp. Hel_I_94. RNAcentral describes it as "partial 23S ribosomal RNA". It matches the Rfam family "Bacterial large subunit ribosomal RNA", at positions 1 to 1712 of the family's 2925-position model. The record is from RNAcentral. Lineage: Bacteria; Pseudomonadati; Bacteroidota; Flavobacteriia; Flavobacteriales; Flavobacteriaceae.